GAACUCAGAAUUGCAUUAAACUUUGAAAGCAAGAAUACAUUGCGUCUGUCACCCACUGCGUCUAACCUACUCUAAUCUUAGAAAACUAGAAAUGAAAAACCUGUAAGAGUCUGAAGGUCGGUAUUUACAUGGCAGAAGGACCCCUUUAUAUAGGGUUGAAGAAAGAAGAAAAAAAAAAUUGGGAACCUUGCUCGCGACGCUUAAUGCUUCAUAAUCGGACGGCCAACCUUCUUUCUGCUUCCUUGAUUUCCUCUGGCCGUUUGAUCCUCCGCAGCGGGCAGCUCCGGUCUGCUUCUUCUCCGGCAAGGAUCGCGACUUCGUCUUCUCUCUUUCUCGCACUCGCACAAGCCAAACCCUAGCUCGAAGGUGUUUNUCUUCCAAUUAAAUGCGCAAGCCAGGAACCCCUAAGGCAGCUUCAGCCUCUCAAAACUGCACCGUUUCACUUAAG
This 448-nucleotide long non-coding RNA is filed under the name Vigna radiata. Its description in RNAcentral is "long non-coding RNA (VRAD_LNC005925)". Lineage: Eukaryota; Viridiplantae; Streptophyta; Magnoliopsida; Fabales; Fabaceae. The record is from RNAcentral.